This 202-nucleotide ribosomal RNA is filed under the name uncultured eukaryote. RNAcentral's name for it is "partial 18S ribosomal RNA". It matches the Rfam family "Eukaryotic small subunit ribosomal RNA", at positions 1299 to 1458 of the family's 1831-position model. The record is from RNAcentral.
UGGUGGAGCGAUUUGUCUGGUUAAUUCCGAUAACGAACGAGACUCUAGCCUAUUAAAUAGUUCGCGGUUCCUGAGUUAGCCGUUGGUGUGGCGUAGUGUUGGUUGGCUUCGAUCGGCUGGCCUGCGUCCGCUUUCGGCCCAGACCGCGCUAACUUCUUAGAGGGACAAGUGGCGUUUAGCCACGCGAGAUUGAGCAAUAACA